AAACUACAUUUAACCUCUCACUGCCCUAGGGGUGGAGGCCUUGCUCCACCCCCUCCCCGCACCCCCAAUUCUAGUACAGAGAUGGGAUAAACACAGCCCUGAACUGUCUUGACAGGAGCAGCAGCAGGGCCAGAGCAAGUGGCAGGGGUUGUACAGUUUAUUUCUGAGGGGGAGGGGGAUGCACAGAGGAGUCAGAGAUGCCUUUCCUUCAGGAAGUGGCAGAGAUGAUUCAAUAUGUCACAUUUCUUUUCCUCCUGAGUCAGGGAUCAACUGGCACAUGGACCCUGUGCUGAGAAUGCUCAGGGUGCUUGUUUAAACUCAGUUACAGCAGUUUUUUCUGCUGAUAGUUGAUAAUAGAAAGCCCUCAAUGAAGUGUACAUCCUUGAGCAGAUUCCUGCAAAAUGCAGACUGGUUAUGCUAUUUCCCCAAAUGUCCCCCUAGCCCUAGAGGUCUCUUUCUCUGCUCCCUACCCCAUCAUAUAGACAUUGGUACAAGCAGUCUCCCUGAGGGACUAAGGCCAGGCCACUGGGGGUUCCACCUCUGCCACUUAGGAGCUUGGCAAACUGGACCUCUCUGUGCCUUGGUUUUCUCAUCUUCCUGGCAAGGUGAAGAUUACAGAAAAUCUAUGUAAAGCCCUUAGCACACGCCUGGCACACCGGAGGGAUUUGACAAGUGGCAGAUGAUUUUAAUACAUUAAUCAUGUACUAUUAGAGCUGAGCUCAAAAAUCUUUUUAUGGAAUCCUAUGUCUACAGCAGCAGUUCUCAAACUUGAACAUGCAUGAGAAUUCCCAGCGGAGGUGGUUAAAUCAGAUUGCUGGGCCUCAUCCCCAGAGAGUGUGGGGCCCGCGAACAUGCAUUUCUAACAAGUUCCCAGGUACUGCAGACACUGGGCCCGGUCCAGGGGCCACUCUCUCCACAGUGCAGAAUCACAGGGCCCUUCAUGACUAACCAGCACCCUCUCCUGUCCCCACUUGGCCGUGGCCUUUCCUGGUUUCUGACCAGCUCAGGGCUAGCUCUGCUUGUCCCCACCUCUGCCCCUUCCCCUGCUCUCUCUGCCUUCAGAAUCGUGUCCAUUCGUCCAGGCCCAGCCUAGCACCACCAGCCCAGCUCUCCAUUGCAAUCCUGUCCCACUCUGCACCCCCACGGAACCUUGCUUGUUCCUCUUGGCAGGUUUAGACCCACUUAACUGCAAGGAACGAGGACUGUGCAGUCUUGUCUGUGCUACUAGCUGGGGAGCUUUUCAGGGCUCAGGGUAAGUCUGCUGUAUUCCAGGGUGUCUUAAGGAAGUGCAAAAGCAGGGUGCAGAGAACUGAAAGGAAAAAGGCUGACAGGGAGGUUUAAGGAAGUAGAAUGAAUAACCUGAGCAAGGGGAAGUAGUGGCCUGCCAAUCUCCAACAGAAGAAAUGUGAAAUAAAAGAGACAUUGACCAACUGAUCUCUACCCCCGUGAAAGAACAAGUUUGAGGAAAUGGGGUCGAAUUGUGACACAGUAUUAGAUUUAGGUCUGCUCUAGGGAAGUUGCCUCUGGGAACUUGUUAAACAGUGCACUGGAUUAGCAAGGGUGGGUGUGAAUAAUUUUAUCAGCCUUGAAAAAUGGAACGGAUUCCCCAUUACCAUGAGCGUUUUGGACAUUAUCCUGCUUUUCUACCUUGGGUACAAAAUUGAGAGCCCUUGACAGGUUUUCUUCAACUGGGUAUACAGUGGACAGCCGUUUGUGCUACUUAAGGAUAUGCUUUUAAGUGAGUUGCUAACUACAUUCCAAAGAGGAACAAAUAUUUUUCAAAAAUCAGAACUUUCGAAAAGUGGCUCACUUCCCAUUGGGGGGGUGAUGCAAACCCAGGCCAGCAAAUGCUGCUGUGGUGUUCAUGUGACAUCACACAAAACUCGCUUGCCAGGUUUAACCAUCACAUUCCCCCAAAGUUAAGAGUUUUUCUUCCUCGUUUUUAAAGGAAAGUCUUCAAAUUUCUGGUGGCUGGAGGAAAUGACUCUUGUACUCUCAACACUGAACAGGAAAUGUCAUGAGUUAUUAUUAUUCUGAUGAACCCAAAGGGUAGCUUUUGCAGUCGGUUUUUCCUGCCACUUGGAAACCUGGCAGCUCUCUGACUUUGCUUGUGUCAUGUCACCUGCUAGGCCAGGAUUUUUUCGGAUGGGGGAGGCACAGGGGUUGGGUAGAGAGGAAGAGAAACACUCAUCUGAGGCGCUAAAAUCCACCAGGAAAAGGUGUUUCGUGCGAGUGAAAAGCUUUUGCUGAGCUAUGGGUCCAAGGUAAACAUCGCUUCUGCUGGGGGCAGGCGACCAAUCUGAGGCCAGUGUGGGAAGACUGAGGGUCAGGGCCAACGCUGGACCCCCUGGGAAUCAUUGGCUGCUUAUCUCUUCAGUCCUGAGUUUUAAAACUCUGCCUACAUCCUGAACUUCUGAUUCAAAGACACCUUUAGGUCAGGAAAUGGCUCUGAAUUCCAGAGCAUAGAAAUUUCCUGCAGAUCCCAAAGCCUUGGGACUCUUAGCUUGUUUUUGCUUCGGGGUGGGAUAAAAUCUAAACUACUUUGCUUGCCCACAAGGCCCUGAGUGCUGGCUCUGCCUCCCUCUCUCUACCUGCCCUUGGAGUCCAGAAUGCUGUCUUUAGAGGGGCCAGCAAACACUGCACUGUCAGGCCUCCUGCCAUGCCUACCACUAGCCAGCACGAGCCAGCCUUGAACCCUGAGCCCAAAUGCUGCCCCUCACCCCUUUUCUGUGCUUUAGACAAUUGCUGGGUAAGGAAGAAGGGGAUGUUCUCCCCAACACUUUCAGGCUGGUUAAGACACUCUUGUCCUGGGUGCCCACUACACCUGGAAAGCUCACCAGUGACACAAGUGCCCUACUGCCUGCAUGUGUCUAGACUGGGCGCUUCCUGAAGACCACUGCGCUGCCCCUGCUGUCUCCUUAGUCUACUGCAGGGUGUCCGACCUGGAGGAGGCGCUCUCGCUUUGUUGAAACUAAAUGAACACGGUCAACUCAAAUGCUGGCAAGAGCUCUGCCCUGAAUGUGGCAGCCCACAGAAUCUGAGGCUGGAAGUCACAGGUGGUCCACAAAACAAAGACAGCAAGUUAGCACAGGUCUAUGCAGAUGGAGAAGAGAGCUGACCGCUCCCCGCCCCCCCACCACCUCCCAGACAAGGCGAGGGUGGGGGGGUGCCUGCAGGAAACAGACUGACAGACAGCCUGACAGCGCCUCCGGAAUGAGGACAGAGAUACCAGGCUUCGCGGAUCUGCCCGCCGCCCACUCAGUGUCAAACCUCAAAGCUCACCGAGAACUUCAGACCGACUCGGUCUUGUAUUUUGCAGAAGUGCCCUGUCUCACUCUUGGCUUCUUCAGGCUCAGGGCUUUCAUUUGGCGAAGAAACGGCGAGUUGAGCUUAAACUCACUGUUUCUAGCAGUGGGUCCUACAGAAAGCCCACAGGUGGAAGCCGGUGGGAAACACACACGGAGAAGGGGCCUGCCUGUCUCCAAACCAGGUGGAGACCAUCCAGGUCCUUGGUGGGAAAAUCACCUGCUGGGUAGAAUCCCAGCUACUGGGGGAAGGUGCCUGGAGGUGGGGUCAGUGUGUUUCCCUCCAGGGCUGGAGUCAGAUGCAGCAGGGAGACAGCCGGCAGGCCAGGGGUUGUCCUGGCAGCGAAAUGGCAGAUGUGCUGGGGAGGGACUUGCAGACCCACAUCCACUGCACAACCAGCCUGGACAGCAUCUCUCAUCCUCUGGACACACCACAGGGCAGGGAGAAACGCUAAGAUCUUUUUCCAUGAGCUUCCAAAAUGGGAAAACAGCAUGGGGGGAAUUUUACUACUGAUCUGGCAGAGAAAGUUCACACAGCACCUUCUUCAAACAACACUCUCUGCAAAGGACGCCCUGGUUUGGAACUCCCCUUUUCAUGGCCUCAUAAAAUACUGAUUUACUGACCUUAAGAGAUACACCUUUAUUGUUUCAGUUUUCCUGGUGUAAGAAUUUCUGGUAGAUAACUGAAAAAGCAAGCUCAUAUUUCCUUAUCAACACA
RNAcentral lists this long non-coding RNA (4023 nucleotides) under Sus scrofa (pig). Its description in RNAcentral is "lncRNA (ENSSSCG00030026235.1)". Lineage: Eukaryota; Metazoa; Chordata; Mammalia; Artiodactyla; Suidae. The record is from RNAcentral.